UGAACGCUGGCGGCAUGGUUAAAACAUGCAAGUCGAACGCGAAAGGGGGCAACCCCAAGUAGAGUGGCGAAAGGGCGAGUAAUGCGUUUCUAACGUACCCUGAGCACGGGGAUAGCUCGCCGAAAGGCGAAUUAAUACCCGAUGAUGCUGGUGGACUGCAUGGUCUGCCUGCCAAAGUAGCAAUACGGCUCAGGAGCGGGGAACGUCCUAUCAGGUAGUUGGUGAGGUAACGGCUCACCAAGCCUAAGACGGGUAGCGGGUGUGAGAGCACGGCCCGCCGCAUCGGGACUGAGACACUGCCCGGACUCCUACGGGAGGCUGCAGUAACGAAUAUUCCGCAAUGCGCGAAAGCGUGACGGAGCGAUGCCGCGUGGAGGAUGAAGCCCCUCGGGGGUGUAAACUCCUGUCAGGGUUUAACAACUCAAUGAGCAGACCCAGAGGAAGAGACGGCUAACUCUGUGCCAGCAG
This 468-nucleotide ribosomal RNA is filed under the name uncultured bacterium. RNAcentral's name for it is "bacterial SSU rRNA". It matches the Rfam family "Bacterial small subunit ribosomal RNA", at positions 30 to 514 of the family's 1533-position model. The record is from RNAcentral.